Molecule: ribosomal RNA, 460 nt
Filed under: uncultured bacterium
Lineage: Bacteria
Description: partial 16S ribosomal RNA
Rfam family: Bacterial small subunit ribosomal RNA
Source: RNAcentral
CCUACGGGUGGCAGCAGUGAGGAAUAUUGGUCAAUGGGCGAGAGCCUGAACCAGCCAAGUAGCGUGAAGGAUGAAUGAUCUAUGGUUUGUAAACUUCUUUUAUAUGGGAAUAAAGUGAUGAACGUGUUCCUUUUUGUAUGUACCAUAUGAAUAAGCAUCGGCUAACUCCGUGCCAGCAGCCGCGGUAAUACGGAGGAUGCGAGCGUUAUCCGGAUUUAUUGGGUUUAAAGGGUGCGUAGGUGGUUAAUUAAGUCAGCUGUGAAAGUUUGUGGCUCAACCAUAAAAUUGCCGUUGAAACUGGUUGUCUUGAGUAUAGUUGAGGUAGGCGGAAUGCGUGGUGUAGCGGUGAAAUGCAUAGAUAUCACGCAGAACUCCGAUUGCGAAGGCAGUUCACUAAACUAUAACUGACACUGAGGCACGAAAGCGUGGGGAUCAAACAGGAUUAGAUACCCUAGUAGUC